Molecule: long non-coding RNA, 1943 nt
Filed under: Sorghum bicolor (sorghum)
Lineage: Eukaryota; Viridiplantae; Streptophyta; Magnoliopsida; Poales; Poaceae
Description: long non-coding RNA (SBIC_LNC018177)
Source: RNAcentral
GGCACUCGGCAGAUUGAAUUCAAUAGAUGUUGUGUCAGAUUUGUUUUCAGUUUCUAUACCAUUUUCCUAUUUCUUAUUUGUUGUGCCUUGUUUAGUUCCAAAAUAUUUUGCAAAAUGGACUCUAGCACUUUCAUUUGUAUUUGACAAAUAUUGUCCAAUCAUGGACUAAUUAGGUUCAAAAGAUUCAUCUCGUCAAUUUCGACCAAACUGUGUAUUUAGUUUUUAUUUUUGUCUAUAUUUAAUACUUCAUUUAUGUGUCUAAAGAUUCGAUGUGACGGAAAUCUGAAAAAUUUUGCAAAAAUUUUUGGGAACUAAACAAAACACUAAAAAUUUUUCUCCUUCCAACUAAAUAAGUCCCGGCCCAACGUCUGUCCUUCCCAACAGCGGCAAAAGUCAUGUGUGCAGAGGAACCUGUCAAGGCAUCGCCGGUGGUCAUGCGUGAGACAGUUAAUAUAGUACUAGCCAUUUGCACAGCAACAAGCUAAAGUCAAGUUUUUCUUUUCUAUAAAGGCCUGGUUUAGUUCCAAAUUUUUUAAGAAUCUCAUACAUGAAGCAUUAAAUAUAGAUAAAAAAUAAUUAAUUAUAUGAUUUUCCUAUAAUUUGCAAGAAAUUUUUUUUAAGCUUAGUUAAUUCGUAGUUGGACAAUAAUUACUAAAUAUAAAAAUAAUACAAUAUCGCCAACAAACAAGGCCAGGUGGAGCUUUGCUUGGCUAUGGGCCGCAGCCCAGGAGGAGAGGGGGGAGGGAGAUGGGCCACGGCCGAGUUUGGCUUAAGAAGGAAAAAUGACCGGGCUGAAAAGAGGGGGAAAGGAAAGGGAAUCUUGGGCCGAGUUCUCAAGCAGAAUUUGUCCUAUAGGCCCAGGUCUUGUUUAGUUGCAAAAAAAAAAAAAUACAAAAUACAUACUGUAGCACUUUCAUUUGUAUUUGACAAAUAUUGUCCAACCAUAGAUUAACAAGACUUAAAAGAUUCGUCUCACAAAUCAUAGGUAAAUUAUGCAAUUAGUUAUUUUUUAUCUAUAUUUAAUGCUUUAUGCAUGUGCUGCAAGAUACGAUGUGACGGAGAAUCUUCAAUAAAUUUUGCAAAAAUUUUUAGGAAGUAAACAAGACCUUGGACAGGUUUUGAAGAUUUUAUAGUUUUCCAAAUCUUGUUAUCAAACAUAUUUGUAAACCUAUUUUUUAAUUCUUUUAAAAUUUAUUUUGAAAACAAUUUUAAGAAAAUUUUGAAGGUUAAAAUAAACUCUUUUCCAAACGCUUUUGCAAUUUAAUUUUGGACCUUAUUUUCAACACAUUUACUAUUUGAGAAAUUGUUUUAAAACUAUUUUUAUAUCUCUCUUGAAAUCUUUUUAAACUCUUCUUCAACAUAAUUUAAAAAAAUACAUUUCAAAGAAUUUUUGAAACAAAACUUGGACUCAUUUUUAGAACUAGAGUUUAAAGUAAACUUUUGAAACCUUACUUUUAGAAAAUAGAGAAAAAAUAUUUGUGGAUUAAAUAAAUUUUAUAAUUCAUUUUUCACUCAAAAAAUUAAUGCAAUACUCAUGAAUGCAACCUCCCAAGGAAAAAAUAAUUAGGAAGAUUUUUAUAAACCCAUUUAUUUAUCCAAAUGACAACAAACUAACUAAAUCUUGGAUGAUUUGGGAAAAUUAUUAAAUCAUUUAUUUGACUUAGUGUUUUCUAUUCACAUUCCAACAUAGAAUUUAGGGUGUGACCAGAGUGAAAUGCAUGAUUUUAAUUUAUAUUUUUAAUAAAAUAAAAAAGAGAGUAAAUACAAUAUCCAACAAAUAUUAGAGUUUUAGCUUAACUCGGGGAUAGGAAGUCUGCAACAAAUAAGAAGAUUAAAUUCGGAAAACCAAAAUAUAAGAUUCAUGCAUGGCACUAUAAGAAACAUGCUACGCCAAGAGCCACCAUGGUUAAAGGUGCCUUGCUUUUUAAAAAGGUUAUGGAUAU